UGUAAUAUCAGUAUUGCUAUUAUUAAGGGUAUUAUUAUUAGUGUUUUAUUUAAAAGUCUGUAUUAAGAGUAUGUAUUUAUUAUUACCAUUAGUGAGUCCAUUUUAAGUUUAUGGGUCGGAUCUUUGAAUCCAAGGAGUCCGAGGUAUCUGGUCAAAUCAUUGACCAAGUUCAUCCUUAACUCUAAACACGCUACAUCUGAAAAUGGAUCAAAAGGAAGAUUGAAACAAUAAUGAUAAUCAAACAUUUCCAAAAGAAGGUGUUCAAAUACAUUUGAAUAUUAGAAUUACAUAUGAAUCAGACCAAAUACAUAAGCUAUUACAUUUGCAGAAUCAGAAAUCCUAAAAAAGUAAAUCAAAUCAAAUCUCAAAAAUCCUAAGCUAAUCAAUCAAUUUAAUUCUAAACCUAAUUUUCUAACCUAUAAGUAACCUAAGAUUAUAGAAGAAAAGGAAAAAAUAUAAGAACCCUACAACUGAUGCGAUCCAUAAACCCUUCAUUAAAGCUCCGAACUUUUGAUACUUAGGGUUUUCACAUUGAAACCCUAAGUCAUAAGAGCUUAGUCUAGAGCCUAUUUCUAGUGGUACCUUGCAAUCAGAGAAGAAGAAGAGGGAGCUAGAGGAAGUUCAGACCAAAAAAUAAAAAAGGAAUUUAAAUUAAAGAAAUGUUUACCUUACUAGAGAGAGCCUCAUCCAUGUAGGUUGGUGGAUAUUGGCAUUUUCUUGGUUGUUGUUUCCUGCUUGCGUUUAAAUCUUAUGUUAUUGCUUGCUUUUGAUUUAUGUUAUUGUGAAUAGUGUUAGGGUUUCGGUUUAUGAAUUUAGGGUUUUGAAAGUUUUGUUUGGAUUUGUUGUUUCUAAUGCUUGAUUGGGGAUUAAGAGGUUAUGAUCUAUGGUUUACUGUUGUUUGUAUUAUGUUUGGGUUUCAUUUGGGGAAUUUCUGGAAAAUUAGGGUUAUGGUUGGAGGUUGAUGAUGAAGAUUCAUCAUGUUCAUGAUGAACAUAAUGAAGAAUCUAAGUAGGUUAUGAAGGUCGCAUGUUAGGGUUCCUUCUGUAUGGUAGAUUGGGGUUAGGGUUCCUUCAGUUUGGGGUUAGGGUUCAUCACCUAGGGAUAAGGUUCAUGCUAAUUGGGGUUGGGGUUAUUAGUUUUAAGGGUUAUGGGUUGAGACAAUGAAGGUUUGAAGUUUCUAGUUGAAGUUCAACCGGAAAGUAGUGUUUGGGGGUGGUUCUUGGGGUGGUGAAGGAUGGGCGGAAAGAGUAUGGAGAAGACAGAGGGGAGGAGUAGAGAGAGAUAAAAAGAGAAGAGAGAGAAAAGGAAAAUGGAAACAAUCCAUUUCUGAAGGGUUUGAGCUUUUAUACGCCCU
This 1354-nucleotide long non-coding RNA is filed under the name Lathyrus oleraceus (garden pea). Its description in RNAcentral is "Pisum sativum (pea) long non-coding RNA (PSAT_LNC024066)". The record is from RNAcentral. Lineage: Eukaryota; Viridiplantae; Streptophyta; Magnoliopsida; Fabales; Fabaceae.